Monomorium pharaonis (pharaoh ant) is the source of this 754-nucleotide long non-coding RNA. RefSeq lists it as uncharacterized. NCBI's taxonomy places the organism in Eukaryota, Metazoa, Arthropoda, Insecta, Hymenoptera, Formicidae. The record is from RefSeq and is a predicted model, not a curated record. The transcript has 2 exons.
GCCAUGCCCUUCACUCGUAGGAAAGGGUUCAACUAUAAUAUCUAACGUUAUAAUAUAUUAUGUACCUAGAAUUUUAUUGUGAGAGAAGAUCAAGAUGGCUCUUGUUAGAAUUUUUUCAUGCACUUUUAACCAGCAAAUAAAGCUCAAUAUUUAAAGCAUAUUGCAUUUAAAAUUGGAUAAGAAGCAACCGCAAUGAAUGAGAAUAAUUAUUUGUGAGUUAUUAUAGUGCGUAAAAAAUCUUUGUUUGGCAAAUGGCCGAACUUAUAUUAAGCCUUAUAUUAACUGAAUAAAUUCAUCAAAAUUUGUUUGCUGAAAAGCAGACAGCGUGUUUAAAUCUGUAAUAAAUUUUUUAAAGAAUGUACGACAUUUCAAAACAUUAUCAAAAAUAUAAAAAUUGUUUUAUUAUUACGUUGAGUAUCUGUGAAAUUUGAGCAUAAUUUUCAUAUUGAUUAAAAAAAUUUCCUGUUUGUUUUUGAUUCUUAUAUAAAAAUCGGAUUUUGCAAAUUUAAGAAAAUAGCAUUAUGAAUUAAAUUCAAUUUUUUACAUAUACUAACAAUAUUAAUAAAUAUUCAUGCAGUAAAAAUUUGUUUUGAUCCACUUAUUUAGAAAUGGUUUACCAAAAAUUGCAGUUAAAUAGUGUAAUUUUUGCUUCGUAAGCUGUUAUAAACUAAAAUUUUCAUUGUUUUGUUUUUUGCAACUGUUUUCACGGUUAAAAUUCAGGCAUUUACGAUCAAAACUUUGUCGUUGAUAAAAA